CUACGGGACGCUGCAGUGAGGAAUAUUGCACAAUGGGGGGAACCCUGAUGCAGCAACGCCGCGUGGAGGAUGACGCAUUUCGGUGUGUAAACUCCUUUUAUAUGUCAAGAAAAUGACGGUAGCAUAUGAAUAAGCACCGGCUAACAUCCGUGCCAGCAGCCGCGGUAAUACGGAGGGUGCAAGCGUUACUCGGAAUCACUGGGCGUAAAGGACGCGUAGGCGGGUUGGAAAGUCAGGUGUGAAAUCCUACAGCUUAACUGUAGAACCGCACUUGAAACUUCUAAUCUAGAGUAUGGGAGGGGGAGAUGGAAUUAGUGGUGUAGGGGUAACAUCCGUAGAUAUCACUAGGAAUACCUAAAGCGAAGGCGAUCUCCUGGAACAUUACUGACGCUAAGGCGUGAAAGCGUGGGGAGCAAACAGGAUUAGAUACCCCAGUAGUC
RNAcentral lists this ribosomal RNA (440 nucleotides) under uncultured bacterium. RNAcentral's name for it is "partial 16S ribosomal RNA". It matches the Rfam family "Bacterial small subunit ribosomal RNA", at positions 339 to 795 of the family's 1533-position model. The record is from RNAcentral.